AUAAUAUGUUCUGUAAACUGUUUUCUCACCAAAAGUCAGUCAGGAGACAAUCAGGCUCCAUGCUCAGCUUGGGAAUGAUGCCAGGAUGGUUGAAGCAGCCGGGCAAAGCAGAGUUCCCAUUACCCAUCUGUUGGGCCCCAGGAGUGGUGGGUGAAGAAUGCUGGGCUGCGAUGCUGCUUGGGCCUUUGGGGUUGUCGUCAUUCUCCUGCUCACAGAGCUGUCUGAUGUCCCCUGCAGACCAGCAGUGCUCCUGAGUGGCCAAGAGGGCGAGCAAAGUCCUCUCUUCCUCACCCCACCUCUGUAUUCCCAACCAUAGCUUGCCAGGACGCUCCCCAUCUCAAGGAGCUCCCUGCUAGCUGGAGGAGGCGACACUCUGUCCUACCUGUACCUGAAGA
This is a non-coding RNA of Heterocephalus glaber (naked mole-rat), 395 nucleotides long. The record is from RefSeq and is a predicted model, not a curated record. NCBI's taxonomy places the organism in Eukaryota, Metazoa, Chordata, Mammalia, Rodentia, Bathyergidae.